GCUCUCUUAGUCUAGUGGUUAGGAUGCGACCCUGUCACGGUUGCGGCGCGGGUCCGAUUCCCGCAGAGAGCG
Molecule: transfer RNA, 72 nt
Filed under: Candidatus Iainarchaeum sp.
Lineage: Archaea; Nanobdellati; Candidatus Iainarchaeota; Candidatus Iainarchaeia; Candidatus Iainarchaeales; Candidatus Iainarchaeaceae
Description: tRNA-Asp
Rfam family: tRNA
About the family: Transfer RNA (tRNA) molecules are approximately 80 nucleotides in length. Their secondary structure includes four short double-helical elements and three loops (D, anti-codon, and T loops).
Source: RNAcentral